This 416-nucleotide ribosomal RNA is filed under the name uncultured bacterium. Its description in RNAcentral is "bacterial SSU rRNA". It matches the Rfam family "Bacterial small subunit ribosomal RNA", at positions 975 to 1391 of the family's 1533-position model. The record is from RNAcentral.
CUGGUCGUGACAUCUCACAUAAUUUGCAUAGAUCUCACUGUGCCUUCUCCAACCGUGAAACCUGUGCUGCCUGGUUGUCUACUGAUCCUGUUGUGAAAUGUUGGGUUAAGUCCCGCAACGAGCGCAACCCUUAUCCUUUGUUGCCAGCGGUCCGGCCGGGAACUCAAAGGAGACUGCCAGUGAUAAACUGGAGGAAGGUGGGGAUGACGUCAAGUCAUCAUGGCCCUUACAACCAGGGCUACACACGUGCUACAAUGGCGCAUACAAAGAGAAGCGACCUCGCGAGAGCAAGCGGACCUCAUAAAGUGCGUCGUAGUCCGGAUUGGAGUCUGCAACUCGACUCCAUGAAGUCGGAAUCGCUAGUAAUCGUGGAUCAGAAUGCCACGGUGAAUACGUUCCCGGGCCUUGUACACACC